RNAcentral lists this ribosomal RNA (471 nucleotides) under Triticum aestivum (bread wheat). Its description in RNAcentral is "partial small subunit ribosomal RNA". Lineage: Eukaryota; Viridiplantae; Streptophyta; Magnoliopsida; Poales; Poaceae. The record is from RNAcentral.
GUCCGACCGGCUCGCCGCUCCAUGCCGCGGCAACGCCGGCGAUAAGGAUGAGCCCUCCCCACUCGGCCUUGUCCUCGUCACCCACUCACCCCUCGCCCCCUCGCGCUCUCUCCCUCUCCCACACCCUCGCCCCCUCUCCAGAUUUCCCAUCGCCAGAACAUAGUCGUCGCCGUGCCAUCGUCGCCGUCGUGACCACCGGCAUCCUCGCGUUGCCUGCUGGCGUGCGGGAGGUCCGCCGUGGGCUACUUCCCGCUCCUCACCGCUGGAUCGAGUCUACGGAGCUAAAUCGGCGCCGCCUGUGCGUCUUCUUCCUCGGCAUCAUCGGACCUCGCCGAUUCGCCGCGGCCGAUUUGCUCCCCCCUGCGCUACUAAGCCCCCGAGGGACCUCCGUGCGUCCACACGACCCUGAGACCGAUGCUGCCCUUGUGAUCGACUACGUCGAUGACGACCCCUCCUUGCCAGAGCAACCAG